This 271-nucleotide long non-coding RNA is filed under the name Homo sapiens (human). RNAcentral's name for it is "HSALNT0389151". The record is from RNAcentral. Lineage: Eukaryota; Metazoa; Chordata; Mammalia; Primates; Hominidae.
GUAAGUUCACCUGGAUGGAGGAGAUGAGAGGGUAGACUUGGAGCUCAGCAAGACCUAGAACUGCUCAAGUGACACCAAAGGGGACAGGAAGGGGAGGUGAUCUCCUUUGGAGGAUUUGGAGGAAAUAUUUUGGGGCUGAAAGAAACAUCCCAAAUAAUCCUCACAAGAGUCCGAUGAGAAGAGAGCCAGAGACAAGGAAACUGAUGUUCAGAGAGGACCAGAGACCCCCCACAAAGCCACAGAGUUGAUGAGGAAACUGAGUACCACGCAG